AAUCCUGGCUCAGGAUGAACGCUAGCUACAGGCUUAACACAUGCAAGUCGAGGGGCAGCAUGAACUUAGCUUGCUAAGUUUGAUGGCGACCGGCGCACGGGUGAGUAACACGUAUCCAACCUUCCGUUUACUCAGGGAUAGCCUUUCGAAAGAAAGAUUAAUACCUGAUAGUAUGGUGAGAUUGCAUGAUAGCACCAUUAAAAGAUUUAUUGGUAAACGAUGGGGAUGCGUUCCAUUAGGUAGUAGGG
This 248-nucleotide ribosomal RNA is filed under the name uncultured bacterium. RNAcentral's name for it is "partial 16S ribosomal RNA". It matches the Rfam family "Bacterial small subunit ribosomal RNA", at positions 15 to 253 of the family's 1533-position model. The record is from RNAcentral.